GCCCCUAUAGCUCAGCUGGUAGAGCAUUGGACUUUUAAUCCAAGUGUCGCGGGUUCAAUCCCCGCUGGGGGCU
Molecule: non-coding RNA, 73 nt
Organism: Zophobas morio
Lineage: Eukaryota; Metazoa; Arthropoda; Insecta; Coleoptera; Tenebrionidae
Source: the annotation of a RefSeq genome assembly